UGGAUCGAUGAGGACCACUGGUGGCGUAUGAGUCGUGCGCACUGAAUACGUGUUUGGAACUCUGAGGUCCAA
Ursus maritimus (polar bear) is the source of this 72-nucleotide small nucleolar RNA. The record is from Ensembl. Lineage: Eukaryota; Metazoa; Chordata; Mammalia; Carnivora; Ursidae.